UUGAGGCUCUUGCCAUAGCCGCCCGUCACCUCUCCAGCUGGGAGAGCCGCGCGGGGCUGCUGGAGAGGUGACGGGCGGCUAUGGCAAGAGCCUCAA
This is a non-coding RNA of Podarcis lilfordi (Lilford's wall lizard), 96 nucleotides long. The record is from the annotation of a GenBank genome assembly. Lineage: Eukaryota; Metazoa; Chordata; Lepidosauria; Squamata; Lacertidae.